GACGAACGCUGGCGGCGUGCUUAACACAUGCAAGUCACGGGGGCCCGCAAGGGCAACCGGCGAACGGGUGCGUAACACGUGAACAAUCUGCCUAGAUGUGGGGGAUAGCCGGCCCAACGGCCGGGUAAUACCGCAUACGCUCACCGAGUGGCAUCGCUUGGUGAGGAAACCUCCGGGGCAUCUAGAGGAGUUCGCGGCCUAUCAGCUAGUUGGUGGGGUAACGGCCUACCAAGGCAAUGACGGGUAGCUGGUCUGAGAGGAUGGCCAGCCACAUUGGGACUGAGAUACGGCCCAGACUCCUACGGGAGGCAGCAGUGGGGAAUAUUGCGCAAUGGCCGAAAGGCUGACGCAGCGACGCCGCGUGGGGGAUGAAGCAUUUCGGUGUGUAAACCCCUGUUGCCCGGGACGAACAAGCGGAUUCUUCCGCUCUGACGGUACCGGGUGAGGAAGCACCGGCUAACUCCGUGCCAGCAGCCGCGGUAAU
RNAcentral lists this ribosomal RNA (484 nucleotides) under uncultured bacterium. Its description in RNAcentral is "bacterial SSU rRNA". It matches the Rfam family "Bacterial small subunit ribosomal RNA", at positions 28 to 524 of the family's 1533-position model. The record is from RNAcentral.